CAAUCACUAACCUUCUGCUAGCAAGGGUAGUGACUGUGGGAAAUGUGCAGGUCAUAGAUGAUGACUUUGCUGCAAUGAGGUUCCCUAACUGUAGGGGAGACAUUUAUGGAACCCUUAUCC
Chelonoidis abingdonii (Abingdon island giant tortoise) is the source of this 120-nucleotide non-coding RNA. NCBI's taxonomy places the organism in Eukaryota, Metazoa, Chordata, Testudines, Testudinidae. The record is from RefSeq and is a predicted model, not a curated record.